GCAUCUUUUAUUUAUUUAUUUAUUUAUUUAUUAUUUUUUAGAGACAAGAUCUCACUCUGUCACCCAGGCCGGAGUGUACUGGCGCAGUCAGGGCUCACUGCAGCCUUGACCUCCCAGGCUCAAGCAAACAUCCCACCUUAGCCUCCCGAGUAGCUGGGACUACAAGCAGGAGCCAACAAGCCCAACAAAUUAUUGUUUUUUUUGUAGAGAUGGUGGUUCCACCAUGUUGCCAGGCUGGUCUUGAACUCCUGGGCUUGAGAGAUCUGCCUGCCUUGGCCUCCCAAAAUGCUGGGAUUACAGGCAUGAGCUACGGCAUCUGGCCCAUGCAUCCUUUUAAAAGAAAAUCUCUUUUUAUCAACACAGAAAGAUAUCCUUGGAAAAUUAAGUAAUGAAACAACUCGUAUAAAUGAGAAUGGCCACAUUUUGGUUAAAGAAGAUAAUAAUAUACGUUAAUAUGUUCAUUUAAAAAAAUGUGGAGGCCAAUAACCAAACAAUUACAAUGGUUUUCUUUAGAUAGUAAGAAAAAUGGGAGACUUUCACUUUCUUCAUUGUGUAGUUCUGUAAUGUUUGAUUUUUUCAAGGCACAUAUAUUAUUGUUAAGCUCAAUGUCCUGGGUUCCAAAUAUGAAUCUUGAAGUUAUCAUCAUCAUUUUCCCCAGAAUAUUCUAAAAGGGACUAGAGUAAAUAGGACACUCAUUGAUUUCCUUACUUGUCUGACAAGGAUAAAGCCCAAGCUAGUGGCCUCCACAGUGGGUGCACAAGAUGAUCCAUUGAUGCUCAGAGAAAAAGUAUGCGAACAUCAACAUACAUAUUUUAAUCUCAUCCUUUGUUAAUUUCCAUUGUCAACUUUUGUUUUUAAAUCAUACAUUAUAUAAUUAUUUAUAUUCAUAAAUGUAUAUUACAUGUAUAUCAUUUGUACAUAAAUAUAUACUCAUAUAUUACGGGGAGUGUUCAAACAUUUUUUUAUUGAUGGAGUAUCUGAUCAAAAGAGUUUAGAGUCCAUUAAUUUAGGUCAAAGCUGCCUUUAAGAGAACUUGAAUUAGAGCUAAGGUAGACAUAAACAUUUUCCAUAAGUUAGUUGUCCUCCCCAAAGUCACUAAUACAGUACUUAAAAGGAAAAAAAUCAGGAAAAUAGGUGAGAAAACACAAUGGAAGACACAUGAAAGAGUCAACUCAGUAAGUAAUAAAAGGUAGAAGAGAAGAAAGUAAAACGGACAGAAUGAUUAUUUACCUAUACACAAAUCAAAUAAUAAAACAAUGGGGAAAACCUUAAUGAAUAAAGAAAGGGAAGUCAAAAUGCAGGAAUAGUCCCACAAAACAUUUAGAGAUGAAGAAACCACAUUCUAUCCUGAAAAAAAAGCAAAUUGUCAAACAGUUGGAAUUUAGAAUGUAACACAUCUGUAGUUCUAUGUUUUCAGCCUAAUGCUUCAAGCAUAGUAUGCACUCAAUGAGUAAAGAAAGAAAGGAUUUUAGGUUAUAGCAUUUUACACCAAAUUAAUGUGUUUAGCUGCAAUUUGAAAGCUUAAUGUGUUUUUGUUAUUUCUCUAUUUUAAAUUGAGCUGCUGAAUAUUUUAUAGAUUAUGAGAAACAGAAAACAAAAAAAUUGAAAAAACAAUGGCAAUUUUGUGAUGUUACAUUUGCAAAUGCAAUGAAAAAGGUAACAACUCAUUGGGAGAAUUUCAAAAUAUGACAGGUAAUUAUUUAUUUGCCAACCCAUGGAAACCUCCUCUAUUCCUUUGCCGUUAUAUGAGCCAAAUAAUCAAAUAAGAAUAUUUGCAAUGAACUUAUAAUUUAGAACUUCUAAAAUUUCUAGAGCCAGAAUAAAGGCAAUUAACAGGAUUAAAGCAGUGACCUUUUUCCUGCUCUUGAAAGCUGAAUUCAUUAGUGACGUUCUAUACGGUCUAUAAAUUAUUUUUUAAAAUAACACUUCCAUUGUGUGGGUAUUUUUAAGCCUAUUGCUAAUAGUUACUUUAAGCCCUCUGAUCUAGAAUGUAAGCAUGUUUUGUUAGUGUUAAAACAAAAUGAAAUCCUGUUUUGCAGUAGUUACAACUUUACCAUCUCUCCCAGGGGCAGCAAAGAUAAAUAGAUUAUUUUUAGGCAAAUGUAAGGCACUAUAUUCUUAGAUUAUCAUUCAGAUAUUCAUCAAAUAUUCAAUGAGGGUUUCUCAGUGCCAAACAUUGUGUUGGAGUUGGAGAUCCACUCGUGAAAUUAAUGAGUCAGCCUCCUCCAGAAUUCACAAUAGUCUUUCCUUGAUUAAUUUUGCAAUAUCCAAACUAUCUGAGAUAUAUCUGUGCAUGUGUAUGGAUGUGUAGACUCAUGAAUAUAAAACACUACUAUAAAAAAGAUAACUACUUAACAUUUAACCAUGAUUAUUGUAGGAGGUGCAAUACUUAACUCUUAAAAAAAGUAAGUAGAAGUAUCUUUAAAAGCCGCAUAAUGUGUGAUUCAACAAUUCUACUUUUAGGAAUUCAUCUUCACAAAAUGAUAAAGGUUAGUGGCAAAUAUUUAAUUACAAGGGUGCUCAUAGUAGAAUUAUUAUUAUUGUUGUUAUUAUUAUUAUUUUAAGACAGGGUCUCACUCUGUUGCCCAGGCUGGAGUACAGUGGUGUAAUCAGAGCUCACUGCAGCCUCCAACUCCUGAAUUCAAGCAAUCUUCCCAUCUCAGCCUCCUGAGUAGCUGAGACUACAGGUGCUUGCCACCAUUCCUGGAUAAUUUUUUUUUUUCUUUUGCAGAGGCAGGGUCUCGCUAUGUUUCCCAGGCAUAUUUUUUUAAAAAGUGCAAGAAACAUCUUAGAUCAAUGCAGGAUUGCUUACAUAAAUUAUGAUCACACAAUGGGAAACUAGGUAAUAUUAAAAAGGAUUAUGUAGAAGUGUUUUCAAUGAUGUGGAAAAAAUUCCAUGAUAUAUCAGAAAGUGAAAAUUAGAAGUUUCCUUGUUGCUUAGGUGUCUAGUACAGAAAACAAGUCCUGACUGUGCUCUGAGCCUGGGCAAGACACUUGACCUCACAGACUCAGUUCUUCCAUCUGUUAAUGUGUGGAAUUUGUGUUACCCUCAAAUUCAUAUGCUGAAGUGAUAGUCCACAGUGCCUCAGAAUGCGAUAUUUGGAGAUAAGGUUUUUAAAGAGGUAAUUAAGUUAAAAUGAGGUUAUUAGGGGGCCUUAAUCCAAUAUGACUGAUAUGCUUAUAAGAAACGGAGAUUAGUACAUAGGCUGUAUAGGGGUAAGACCAGGUAUAGACACAGGGAGAAGACAGCCAUCUGCAAGCCAAGACGAGAAGCCUCAAAGGAAACCAACCCUGCCAAUAACUUGAUCAGAGACAUAGACUUCAGAACUUUCAGAAAAUAAAUGUCUGCCGCUCAAGCCACCCAGUCUGUGGUAAUUUGUUAUAGCAGUCCUAGCAAACUAAUACACCAUUUAAAAGAGGGAGAAAAUCUUAAUAUCAUCUUUAUUUAGCUCACAAGUUUGCUGUAAGUCAAAUAGAUGUAAUCUCUUUGUAAACUGUAAAGUACUAUAUAAAUGUGAAUAAUUGUUAUUCACAAGGUCCUUGAAAAUGCAGUCAUGUUGUUACGAUUUGAAUUUUAUAUUCCUUUAGUAGGGCAGACACUCAGUAUCAGUACAGGGGAUGGGGAGAAGCAAGAGAUUUCCUAGGGCUGCAGCAAAAAACACAAAUGAUUUGUCAUUGAAAGAAGAGGCAAAAUAAAAUGAAUAGUUCCUUGCAUUCAUGCUGCAAAUUUUUAAGCAAACCGAUACCUAAACUACAUACAAUAACAAUAUCUAAUAUGUAUUAAGCAUUUACUAAGUACCUAGCAUAAUCCCAAGUACUUUUAAUAUGUGUUCUCAGCCAGGCGCGGUGGCUCACGCCUGUAAUCCUAGCCUUUAUCAACCCCAUGGUAAAAGUGCUUGGUGUGUGUAUGUGUGUCAUGUACUGUGUAUAUAUAUUUAUUUAUGUGUGUGCAUCUAUUUUAGUUUUGUUACAUGUAUCUUUUUUUUUUUUUUUUGGAGACAGGGUCUCACUCUGUUGCCCAGGGUGGAGUACAGAGGUGCAAUAUCGGCUCACUGCAACCUCUGUCUCCAGGUUCAAGCGAUUUUCCUGCCUCAGCCUCCCAAUUAGCUGAGUACAGGCGCCCAUCACCACGCCAAGCUAAUUUUUAGUAGAGACGAGGUUUUGCCAUGUUGGGCAGGCUAGUCUCAAACUCCUGACCUCAAGUGAUCCACUCACCUUGGCCUCUCAAAGUGCUGGGAUUACAGGCAUGAGCCACCGCACCCGGCCUGUUAUACAUAUCUUUAACAUUAAAAUUUGUUCCUAUGUGGUAAGAACAGUAAAAGGAGUAAUAAAAUUGCCAAAAUAAGUUGUGAUUUUCCAAGAGAUGACUGUGCUUUGCAUUACUGUGAAACACUGAAAACACUGCUAAAUGACCUAUGCGUAACACACACCCAUGCUAUCUUCUUACUCUUGCCCCAGUACAUCCAUAUGCAUUGCUCUAACAGUGUGCAAGCUGUUCUUCUGAGUUUAUUUUAUGAUAAGCGUAUUGAAUACAUUAUCUCAAAUCUGUGUAAGCAUCCUGCUUAUAAGAAUCUCAAGCAAUGAAUAAAAAGAAAAGCCUUAUGUUUUAAGGAGAAAAUGAAAUAAUAAAAUAUUUUGAAACAAAUGAGAGAACUUGCAGGCCUGAAGGAAUCCACAUUGCCCAUUUAGAUUUAGAGAUUUAGAAACAAGGCUAAGAAAAUAAAAGAAAGGAAAACUCUUACAUCAUAGUUAUCUGCUUCCAGUGGAAUUGAGAAGCAUUUGGAAGAGACUGAAGACAAAGAAAGACUCUAAUGCUGAACAAUGAGUGUGGAUGAGGCCGGGCGUGGUGGCUCAUGCCUGUAAUCCCAGCGCUUUGGGAGGCCGAGGUAGGCAGAUCACUUGAGGUCAGGAGUUUGAGACCAGCCUAGCCCGGCCAACAUAGUGAAACCCUGCCCGUACUAAAAAUACAAAAAUUAGCCAGGCUUGGUGGCGGGUGCCUGUAAUCCCAGCUCCUUGGAAGGCUGAGGCAGGAGAAUCGCUUGAACCCGGGAGGUGGAGGUUGCAGUGAGCGAAGAUGUCACCACUGCACUCCAGCGUGGGUGACAGAGCGAGACUCUGUCUCGAGAAAAAAAA
RNAcentral lists this long non-coding RNA (5133 nucleotides) under Homo sapiens (human). RNAcentral's name for it is "long non-coding RNA NONHSAT181805.1". The record is from RNAcentral. Lineage: Eukaryota; Metazoa; Chordata; Mammalia; Primates; Hominidae.